Molecule: long non-coding RNA, 2750 nt
Organism: Magallana angulata
Lineage: Eukaryota; Metazoa; Mollusca; Bivalvia; Ostreida; Ostreidae
Exons: 2
Source: RefSeq, a predicted model, not a curated record
GUGAAGGUCGCCGGUCGGAAGGAACUAUCGUGGUGCUCGAAUCAAGAAAAUCAUUGUAAUUGUUUUGACUGCAUACAUUGAUUUGUCCUUUAAAAAUCCAAAGGUGUGAACUGCUUUGAAAAUAACGGAAAUAGAACUUUCAACAAUAUGGCGUGUUUCACUUGCAGUUGGAAAGUUAUUCUUAUCUGGUGGAUUGAUGUCAUUCCUUUUGUAGCCUCACCACCACUUCUUGGGGGAUAUUUACUGAAGGACAUUGUAACAUUUAUUCCGAGGAACGAAAGGGAGUUUAUAGAGCAAACAAAAAACCUGAAAUGUGCACAUUCUGAAGGCUGUAAACUCCAUCCCACCUAUGUUAUUAGCCCCUUUCAUAACGAAACCCGUAUAGGCUGUUUUUGUGAAAUGAAAGUGACCGUCAAGAAGUGUUUGGAGUAUAAUUUUAUGAGAGAUGGUACAGUUAUAAUGCAACCAAGCAACUAUGCUCCAUGUGGUGAUUUUAAUCUGACACCAUGUAAUGACUAUUCUUCCACCAAGAGCUAUGAAUUGUUUCAAUGUUUUGAAAUAUAUGGGGGAAUUCCUCCUCCAAAAAUAGAAAUCAUGCAGGAAACAGAUUACUCUUUUUAUAUUUACAUUGGGAUUUCUUUUGCAAGUCCCUGUAUCGUGUUUUUACUUAUUAUACUUAUAAUUCCUAUUUGUAUUCAAAUGGGUAUAAAUAAAGUAAGUUGGGGAGAUUUUUGGAAAUUGUGGUUCAGUACUUUCAAACGGUUGUAUUCAAGACCACAGACCACAGAUGUGAUUUUAGACUCUACGCCUGGACAACUGCCCAACACCGAUGUUCGCAGCAAACGACAUGUUCGAGGCACACAACCUUUUCAGAGCACUGAUGAACCUGGACCUGACAAUGAUACUUUAAAAAAUAGUAAAAUGGAAAUAGAUGACCUAGAAAAUCUUGCCAUCGACACUGAGAAUGAUACAUUCUUGUAGUUUCCUUUUCUUUGUCUUUCAUUUCUUUUUUUAAAAGAAGUUGUUUUACAAAUUAUGUUACUGCUCUUAUUUUUAUGUAUCUAUUUUAAUUGUGUUUAUUGUGUUGUCGGCCUGACUCUGGCAAAAGUUCACUUUUUACAUGAUUUAUGUUAUUGUGUUUUAGCAGGCAUUUAAUUUUGUCAUGUAUAUGUUUGUGUUUUCUGGCAGAUUCAGUUUUGACAUUCACAACUGUGUUGUCUCAGUUUAAUUUGUCAAAGUUAUUCUGAUUUAAAAUAAUUUUGAUUGAAACAAGGGAGAUCCCAUUGCCAUUUUAUCAGUCUUUGUUCAAUGCUUAGGUAAAUUUAAUAUUAAUUGCUAGGUGAUCUUCCCUUUAUUAUGAUGUUGUGCCUAAAUGUAUGUGAUGUUUACAUGGUUUUGUUGUUGAACAAGCUCUUGAGUUUGUUUUUAUAAUUUUGAGUCCCUAUAGUUUAGAUAUAUUAGAUCUUUACCAUAUUUGAUAGUAUUCUUAAAUCACUGUAAGUGACUAAACUAAUGAGAAGUGUUACUGCCUUGAAAUCUGAUUGUAAACAAAGUAAACCAAAUUUUGUGUGGGAUAUAUGACCAUCUCUAAUCUCCAUCAUGAACUUAAUUUGUGUAUUUCAUAAUUGAAGUUGUACUUUAUAUUAUGGUAGCAGUAAAUGACCAAUGAAAUCCUUGUUUUUUAAAUUUGAAUGAUUUUGUGUAUUGCAUUAUUUUUUUAUUGUUGUCAAAAUGUAUAUUAUAUUUUGUUAUGUCAAUUUAGUGAUUUAAGUAAUUUCAUUUAUCAGAGUUAUUCCGCAAACAAAAAAAAUUCAUAAUUGUAACUGAGUUGAUAACCAUUUUUAUUACUGUAGUCUUUGUUCGUAGAUAAAUUUUGCAGAUAUUAUCUAGAAUAUCCACCCCUCCCUCAAUUUUUGAAUACAAAUACUCUUAAUAUGCACAAAUUAAUUUACUUUAAUGAUGUACAUUUUGAAUCUUUUUUUAUUGCAAUUUGUUUCAAUUGAUUGCCUAUCAUACCUUUUCUGUAAGACACACCUUUUUAGUAGUUUUUAUUGAUUUUUUAGAAUGAUAUGAACCAAUGAUUUUUUCUAUUUCCAUAGUUUUCACAAUUUAAACAGGUAUUACAGGUUAGAAUUAAAAAAAUUGCCUUAUUUACAUUUCAACAUAAUUUAUCAGAUAUUAAAAUCAUGCAUUUAUUCGCGACCUACAGUGUCUUACUUGCAACCAAAACAGGUUUUGCUCUUUUUCAUAAAAAAAAAAUGAAAUACCUAAAUGCAAUGUAAAUUGAAUAAAACUUGAGAGAAAAUACCCUUAUUUGAAUAACAAUACCAUGUUUCAAAAAUUAUACCUCUAGUUAGUAAUCCAUGGGGGAAAAAAAUUGGCAUAGGAUUUUACCUUUAUUAAUGAAAUAUAUAACUUCUUAUUGUUCAGAAUUAAUCUUAAUAGAAAUUAACAUUCAAAUUUGAUUGACAAAGCAAAAUGUAUUCAAAUGUGAUUGGAAUGUCCAUUUAUCAUAUUUAGGCUGUGUUUCCCACCCCCUUUUAAUCUGAUAUAAUUGCUUAUUGUAAAGAUUUAUAUGGGAAUACAUUAAGAUAUGUACAUGUAUCUGAUAUUUUGUUUUGGAAAGGGGGGGGGGGGGUAAGUCACAACAAGUUUGCUCCAUGACAAUUCACAACCAUGCAAUCAUUCCUCUGUGUUAGAAAUAUGUCGGUUGUAGAUUGUAUGAUUGAUAAUGCAUAUUCCACAAUGCU